Molecule: ribosomal RNA, 372 nt
Filed under: uncultured bacterium
Lineage: Bacteria
Description: bacterial SSU rRNA
Rfam family: Bacterial small subunit ribosomal RNA
Source: RNAcentral
AUUUGGAAACAGAUGCUAAUACCGCAUAAAACCUAACACCGCAUGGUGUAGGGUUGAAAGAUGGUUUCGGCUAUCACUUUAGGAUGGACCCGCGGUGCAUUAGUUAGUUGGUGAGGUAAAGGCUCACCAAGACCGUGAUGCAUAGCCGACCUGAGAGGUAAUCGGCCACACUGGGACUGAGACACGGCCCAGACUCCUACGGGAGGCAGCAGUAGGGAAUCAUCCACAAUGGACGAAAGUCUGAUGGAACAACGCCGCGUGAGUGAAGAAGGUUUUCGGAUCGUAAAACUCUGUUGUUGGAGAAGAAUGUAUCUGAUAGUAACUGAUCAGGUAGUGACGGUAUCCAACCAGAAAGCCACGGCUAACUACGUG